This 1345-nucleotide ribosomal RNA is filed under the name uncultured bacterium. Its description in RNAcentral is "bacterial SSU rRNA". It matches the Rfam family "Bacterial small subunit ribosomal RNA", at positions 28 to 1380 of the family's 1533-position model. The record is from RNAcentral.
GACGAGCGUUGGCGGCGUGCUUAACACAUGCAAGUCGAACGGAAAGGCCCUGCUUUUGUGGGGUGCUCGAGUGGCGAACGGGUGAGUAACACGUGAGUAACCUGCCCUUGACUUUGGGAUAACUUCAGGAAACUGGGGCUAAUACCGGAUAGGAGCUCCUGCUGCAUGGUGGGGGUUGGAAAGUUUCGGCGGUUGGGGAUGGACUCGCGGCUUAUCAGCUUGUUGGUGGGGUAGUGGCUUACCAAGGCUUUGACGGGUAGCCGGCCUGAGAGGGUGACCGGCCACAUUGGGACUGAGAUACGGCCCAGACUCCUACGGGAGGCAGCAGUGGGGAAUAUUGCACAAUGGGCGGAAGCCUGAUGCAGCAACGCCGCGUGCGGGAUGACGGCCUUCGGGUUGUAAACCGCUUUCGCCCGUGACGAAGCGUGAGUGACGGUAAUGGGUAAAGAAGCACCGGCUAACUACGUGCCAGCAGCCGCGGUGAUACGUAGGGUGCGAGCGUUGUCCGGAUUUAUUGGGCGUAAAGGGCUCGUAGGUGGUUGAUCGCGUCGGAAGUGUAAUCUUGGGGCUUAACCCUGAGCGUGCUUUCGAUACGGGUUGACUUGAGGAAGGUAGGGGAGAAUGGAAUUCCUGGUGGAGCGGUGGAAUGCGCAGAUAUCAGGAGGAACACCAGUGGCGAAGGCGGUUCUCUGGGCCUUUCCUGACGCUGAGGAGCGAAAGCGUGGGGAGCGAACAGGCUUAGAUACCCUGGUAGUCCACGCUGUAAACGGUGGGUACUAGGUGUGGGGUCCAUUCCACGGGUUCCGUGCCGUAGCUAACGCUUUAAGUACCCCGCCUGGGGAGUACGGCCGCAAGGCUAAAACUCAAAGGAAUUGACGGGGCCCCGCACAAGCGGCGGAGCAUGCGGAUUAAUUCGAUGCAACGCGUAGAACCUUACCUGGGUUUGACAUGGAUCGGGAGUGCUCAGAGAUGGGUGUGCCUCUUUUGGGGUCGGUUCACAGGUGGUGCAUGCCUGUCGUCAGCUCGUGUCGUGAGAUGUUGGGUUAAGUCCCGCAACGAGCGCAACCCUUGUUCACUGUUGCCAGCACGUUAUGGUGGGGACUCAGUGGAGACCGCCGGGGUCAACUCGGAGGAAGGUGGGGAUGACGUCAAGUCCUCAUGCCCCUUAUGUCCAGGGCUUCACGCAUGCUACAAUGGCUGGUACAGAGAGUGGCGAGCCUGUGAGGGUGAGCGAAUCUCGGAAAGCCGGUCUCAGUUCGGAUUGGGGUCUGCAACUCGACCUCAUGAAGUCGGAGUCGCUAGUAAUCGCAAAUGAGCAACGCUGCGGUGAAUCCGUUCCCGGGGC